UACAGAGGUCUCAAGCGUUGUUCGGAUUCAUUGGGCGUAAAGGGUGCGUAGGCGGCGCGGUAAGUCGGGUGUGAAAUCUUGGAGCUUAACUCCGAAACUGCAUUCGAUACUGCCGUGCUUGAGGACUGGAGAGGAGACUGGAAUUUACGGUGUAGCGGUGAAAUGUGUAGAGAUCGGGAGGAACACCGGUGGCGAAGGCAGCUCUCUGGGACGGUACUGACACUGAGACGCGAAAGCGUGGGGAGCGAACAGG
This 253-nucleotide ribosomal RNA is filed under the name uncultured bacterium. RNAcentral's name for it is "partial 16S ribosomal RNA". It matches the Rfam family "Bacterial small subunit ribosomal RNA", at positions 524 to 776 of the family's 1533-position model. The record is from RNAcentral.